This 430-nucleotide ribosomal RNA is filed under the name uncultured bacterium. RNAcentral's name for it is "bacterial SSU rRNA". It matches the Rfam family "Bacterial small subunit ribosomal RNA", at positions 354 to 776 of the family's 1533-position model. The record is from RNAcentral.
GUGGGGAAUAUUGGACAAUGGGGGAAACCCUGAUCCAGCCAUGCCGCGUGUGUGAAGAAGGCCUUCGGGUUGUAAAGCACUUUAAGCGAGGAGGAAGGUUCGUUACUUAAUACGUAACGGAAUUGACGUUACUCGCAGAAUAAGCACCGGCUAACUCUGUGCCAGCAGCCGCGGUAAUACAGAGGGUGCAAGCGUUAAUCGGAAUUACUGGGCGUAAAGCGCGCGUAGGCGGUUGUGUAAGUUGGAUGUGAAAUCCCCGGGCUUAACCUGGGCACUGCAUUCAAAACUGCACGGCUAGAGUAUGGGAGAGGAAGGUAGAAUUCCAGGUGUAGCGGUGAAAUGCGUAGAGAUCUGGAGGAAUACCGAUGGCGAAGGCAGCCUUCUGGCCUAAUACUGACGCUGAGGUGCGAAAGCAUGGGGAGCAAACAGG